CUUUGAUCAUUAGGUAAAUGAUGU
This 24-nucleotide microRNA is filed under the name Ananas comosus (pineapple). RNAcentral's name for it is "microRNA s0010_c009". The record is from RNAcentral. Lineage: Eukaryota; Viridiplantae; Streptophyta; Magnoliopsida; Poales; Bromeliaceae.